GAGUCAGUAAUGACAACAGAAAGUCAAGAAUAGGAUGAUGACAUAAAAAUCAUGCUCUAUGGGAUUACAUUGAGUCC
This is a small nucleolar RNA of Rattus norvegicus (Norway rat), 77 nucleotides long. Ensembl annotates it as small nucleolar RNA SNORD115. The record is from Ensembl. NCBI's taxonomy places the organism in Eukaryota, Metazoa, Chordata, Mammalia, Rodentia, Muridae.